UUUUAUGGAGAGUUUGAUCCUGGCUCAGGAUGAACGCUGGCGGCGUGCCUAAUACAUGCAAGUCGAGCGAACGGACGAGAAGCUUGCUUCUCUGAUGUUAGCGGCGGACGGGUGAGUAACACGUGGAUAACCUACCUAUAAGACUGGGAUAACUUCGGGAAACCGGAGCUAAUACCGGAUAAUAUUUUGAACCGCAUGGUUCAAAAGUGAAAGACGGUCUUGCUGUCACUUAUAGAUGGAUCCGCGCUGCAUUAGCUAGUUGGUAAGGUAACGGCUUACCAAGGCAACGAUGCAUAGCCGACCUGAGAGGGUGAUCGGCCACACUGGAACUGAGACACGGUCCAGACUCCUACGGGAGGCAGCAGUAGGGAAUCUUCCGCAAUGGGCGAAAGCCUGACGGAGCAACGCCGCGUGAGUGAUGAAGGUCUUCGGAUCGUAAAACUCUGUUAUUAGUGAAGAACAUAUGUGUAAGUAACUGUGCACAUCUUGACGGUACCUAAUCAGAAAGCCACGGCUAACUACGUGCCAGCAGCCGCGGUAAUACGUAGGUGGCAAGCGUUAUCCGGAAUUAUUGGGCGUAAAGCGCGCGUAGGCGGUUUUUUAAGUCUGAUGUGAAAGCCCACGGCUCAACCGUGGAGGGUCAUUGGAAACUGGAAAACUUGAGUGCAGAAGAGGAAAGUGGAAUUCCAUGUGUAGCGGUGAAAUGCGCAGAGAUAUGGAGGAACACCAGUGGCGAAGGCGACUUUCUGGUCUGUAACUGACGCUGAUGUGCGAAAGCGUGGGGAUCAAACAGGAUUAGAUACCCUGGUAGUCCACGCCGUAAACGAUGAGUGCUAAGUGUUAGGGGGUUUCCGCCCCUUAGUGCUGCAGCUAACGCAUUAAGCACUCCGCCUGGGGAGUACGACCGCAAGGUUGAAACUCAAAGGAAUUGACGGGGACCCGCACAAGCGGUGGAGCAUGUGGUUUAAUUCGAAGCAACGCGAAGAACCUUACCAAAUCUUGACAUCCUUUGACAACUCUAGAGAUAGAGCCUUCCUCUUCGGGGGACAAAGUGACAGGUGGUGCAUGGUUGUCGUCAGCUCGUGUCGUGAGAUGUUGGGUUAAGUCCCGCAACGAGCGCAACCCUUAAGCUUAGUUGCCAUCAUUAAGUUGGGCACUCUAAGUUGACUGCCGGUGACAAACCGGAGGAAGGUGGGGAUGACGUCAAAUCAUCAUGCCCCUUAUGAUUUGGGCUACACACGUGCUACAAUGGACAAUACAAAGGGCAGCGAAACCGCGAGGUCAAGCAAAUCCCAUAAAGUUGUUCUCAGUUCGGAUUGUAGUCUGCAACUCGACUACAUGAAGCUGGAAUCGCUAGUAAUCGUAGAUCAGCAUGCUACGGUGAAUACGUUCCCGGGUCUUGUACACACCGCCCGUCACACCACGAGAGUUUGUAACACCCGAAGCCGGUGGAGUAACCUUUUAGGAGCUAGCCGUCGAAGGUGGGACAAAUGAUUGGGGUGAAGUCGUAACAAGGUAGCCGUAUCGGAAGGUGCGGCUGGAUCACCUCCUUUCUAA
Molecule: ribosomal RNA, 1557 nt
Filed under: Staphylococcus aureus
Lineage: Bacteria; Bacillati; Bacillota; Bacilli; Caryophanales; Staphylococcaceae
Description: 16S ribosomal RNA
Rfam family: Bacterial small subunit ribosomal RNA
Source: RNAcentral